CCCCUCUCAGGGUCUUACCUGGAGAGUUUCAGUCCUCUUCCAGUCUUGACUACAGGAGGGAGAGUCAAGCAGAGGCAUAUCCAUUCCAUUCCUAGCUUGGCCAGUAGCUAGCGAGUGGAAGGCAAUCUGCUCAAGUC
Tachyglossus aculeatus (Australian echidna) is the source of this 137-nucleotide small nucleolar RNA. NCBI's taxonomy places the organism in Eukaryota, Metazoa, Chordata, Mammalia, Monotremata, Tachyglossidae. The record is from RefSeq and is a predicted model, not a curated record.